GAUGAACGCUGGCGGCGUGCCUAAUACAUGCAAGUCGAGCGAACAGACGAGGAGCUUGCUCCUCUGACGUUAGCGGCGGACGGGUGAGUAACACGUGGAUAACCUACCUAUAAGACUGGGAUAACUUCGGGAAACCGGAGCUAAUACCGGAUAAUAUAUUGAACCGCAUGGUUCAAUAGUGAAAGACGGUUUUGCUGUCACUUAUAGAUGGAUCCGCGCCGCAUUAGCUAGUUGGUAAGGUAACGGCUUACCAAGGCAACGAUGCGUAGCCGACCUGAGAGGGGUGUUCGGCAACACUGAACUUGAAAACGGUCCCGACCCCUACGGGAGGCAGCAGUAGGGAAUCUUCCGCAAUGGGCGAAAGCCUGACGGAGCAACGCCGCGUGAGUGAUGAAGGUCUUCGGAUCGUAAAACUCUGUUAUUAGGGAAGAACAAAUGUGUAAGUAACUAUGCACGUCUUGACGGUACCUAAUCAGAAAGCCACGGCUAACUACGUG
Molecule: ribosomal RNA, 497 nt
Filed under: uncultured bacterium
Lineage: Bacteria
Description: partial 16S ribosomal RNA
Rfam family: Bacterial small subunit ribosomal RNA
Source: RNAcentral